GGAUUGCUUCCUUCGCCGUAGGAGCAGUUGCCUUAACUGUACCCAUACUUGAGUUGCCGUUGGAUUCGCCGUCCCCAAGCCACUUCCAGUAUCCACAGUUAGCUUCACAACAUUUGAACAACUUGCCUUUGUUCUUUGUUGCCUUCUCUACCUCAAAACACUUAACAAAUGCAUGUUGACACCACGGACAUACUCGCUUGUUCGGGCAAUCCACAAACAAGUGAUCUGUAGACCUACAACUGUGGCAUACAACACGAUUCUUUCCUACCAUUCUAAGAUGGGGAUCAACUAGAAAAUUAGCAACAAAAUGCAUAUACAAUAACACAAAUGAAGGUAAGAAUGCAGUUACGUUACACGAUUUCGCAAUAAAAUUAAAAAAUGUGAGUCGUUCCCAGUUCGUGACAUAUGAGGAUGAGCAACAAUUGACUCAGACAAAGUGAAUGACGCUAAUUACCAUACUUUCUGAACUUCAUAUGAAGCAAUCAUCUUUCGAAACUCAUUUUCACAUGAACUAGCCCCAUUUCCAAUAAGAAAAAAUUAACCAAUGAAACCCACCAAAUUUGAAGCUCAUUUUCAGAUUCUAUAUACCAUUACCCUUCACAAACGAAACCCACCAACAUUGAUUUUAUACACCACCAACACAGUGGUAGCAUUUUCAAUUCAUUGUUCUUCCAUAUCCUUCUACUUCUUCGACCUCUCUCAACUAUGUUAACACAAUGUCAUUUUGCAAAACAAAUAACUUCCCAAUAAAAAAAAUUAACCAAUGAUACCCACCAAAAUUUGAAGCUCAUUUUCAGAUUCGACAUACCAUUACCCUUCACAAAUGAAACCCACCAACAUUGAUUUUCUACACCACCAACACAGUGGUAACAUUUUCACUUCAUUGUUCUUCAAUAUUUUUUCUACUUCUUCAACCCCCUCUCAACUUAGCAAAACAAACAACUUACCAAUAGUUUGCAACGGAUCUCGUCGGAGAUGAAGGCGUCGGUGUUGAAGAAGAUCAAUACACG
RNAcentral lists this long non-coding RNA (1010 nucleotides) under Olea europaea (common olive). RNAcentral's name for it is "long non-coding RNA (OEUR_LNC004286)". The record is from RNAcentral. Lineage: Eukaryota; Viridiplantae; Streptophyta; Magnoliopsida; Lamiales; Oleaceae.